CUUAAAACAUCCCAAAUCUCACUGGGAGUAAGGCUGAGCUAAUGCUUAAGUCUGUCUCCCACUGAAAAGCUUUAAUGCACAAACCUAACUGUAUUUAGCUCCUCUUCUCAGCUCCUUCUAUGAACAAGAGAGUGCUAUUACAGUAGCUCAGCUGGCAUUCUUGUCUAGCUCCUACCUACGGAAAGCCAAGCUUGCUCAGGCCACUCACAUGCACACAUACAUACACUUUCCAGCUCCUGCUGCAGGUAGUUUUAUUUCUGAAGUGAGAUUGUAAUUUUUUUUUUCCUGGCCUGCUUGUAUGAUACCCCCCUUCUCACUGAUGUUACUCCCCUCCCCUCAACAUGCUUUCCCAGGGUGAUAAUCUCCCUGCUGCAGCACUAUCCAGCACCUGCAGGCUGGGCUGGAGCCUGGUCAGUCGUAGCAUCGCCCUCCCAGAUGCUGUUGGCAGGUAACAGACUGCUCUAAGGACAGCAAGAAUUUCAUACCUGCAAGAAAGUAACACUCCUUUGACACUGAACCUGUUUUUAUAUAGAAGACUUCUUCUACAAAUGUUCACAAAGUGACUAAAUUAAAUACUUUGCCUGCUUUGUUAUCUACUUCCACUCCUGUCACCUGUGGAAUAAAACCAAGCUUCCAAGUGA
Molecule: long non-coding RNA, 641 nt
Organism: Tympanuchus pallidicinctus (lesser prairie-chicken)
Lineage: Eukaryota; Metazoa; Chordata; Aves; Galliformes; Phasianidae
Exons: 2
Source: RefSeq, a predicted model, not a curated record